CCCUGAAAGGAGAAAUAAAGGCACCCCCGGGGCUUAAAAGAAACGGUGGGCGAGGGCAUGCCCGCCCGGGUUAAAUACGGUUAGGGGGUGCCAAGGCGGUUUAAAUCGGGAAAUUAACUUGGGGCGGUAAAGGCGGUGCGGCAGGGCGGGUGUGAUGUUAGGUUGGGAGUGGGAGGAUGCGCCGGGGGCGUGGGCGGUGGGGGACUUGCAUUGGGAAUAACUGGGUCAGGCUAGAGGUGUGUCAGAGGGGGGGUAGGAUUCCGACGUGUAGCAGUGAAAUGCGUAGAGAUGUGGUGGAAUACCGAUGGCGAAGGCAGCCCGCCGUGGGAUGACACUGACGCUCAUGCACGAAAGCGUGGGGAGCAAAACAGGAAUUGAGAUACGGGUGGUGAGUCCAGCGCCGGUAGGACGGAUGUGGUAGUGAGUUGUGCGGGUCUUGAAUUGACUUGGUGAACGCAGCUAACGCGUGAAGUAGACCGCCUGGGGAGUACGGUCGCAAGAUUAAAACUCAAAGGAAUUGACGGGGACCCGCACAAGCGGUGGAUGAUGUGGAUUAAUUCGAUGCAACGCGAAAAACCUUACCUACCCUUGACAUGGCAGGAAUCCUGAAGAGAUUUGGGAGUGCUCGCAAGAGAACCUGCACACAGGUGCUGCAUGGUUGUCGUCAGCUCGUGUCGUGAGAUGUUGGGUUAAGUCCCGCAACGAGC
This 707-nucleotide ribosomal RNA is filed under the name uncultured bacterium. RNAcentral describes it as "bacterial SSU rRNA". The stretch from base 167 to 707 matches the Rfam family "Bacterial small subunit ribosomal RNA", at positions 1 to 1097 of the family's 1533-position model. The record is from RNAcentral.